This 462-nucleotide ribosomal RNA is filed under the name uncultured bacterium. Its description in RNAcentral is "partial 16S ribosomal RNA". It matches the Rfam family "Bacterial small subunit ribosomal RNA", at positions 28 to 507 of the family's 1533-position model. The record is from RNAcentral.
GAUAAACGCUGGCGGCGUGCUUAACACAUGCAAGUCGAACGAAGUUUUUCUUUCGGGAGGAACUUAGUGGCGGACGGGUGAGUAACGCGUGGGUAACCUGCCCUGUACAGGGGGACAACAGCUGGAAACGGCUGCUAAUACCGCAUAAGCCCUUAGCACUGCAUGGUGCAUAGGGAAGAGGAGCAAUCCGGUACAGGAUGGACCCGCGUCUGAUUAGCCAGUUGGCAGGGUAACGGCCUACCAAAGCGACGAUCAGUAGCCGAUCUGAGAGGAUGUACGGCCACAUUGGGACUGAGACACGGCCCAGACUCCUACGGGAGGCAGCAGUGGGGAAUAUUGCACAAUGGAGGAAACUCUGAUGCAGCGACGCCGCGUGAGUGAAGAAGUAUUUCGGUAUGUAAAGCUCUAUCAGCAGGAAAGAAAAUGACGGUUCCUGACUAAGAAGCACCGGCUAAAUACGUG